This 109-nucleotide small RNA is filed under the name Aureimonas sp. Leaf454. Its description in RNAcentral is "rpsB sRNA". It matches the Rfam family "rpsB sRNA". The record is from Rfam by way of RNAcentral. Lineage: Bacteria; Pseudomonadati; Pseudomonadota; Alphaproteobacteria; Hyphomicrobiales; Aurantimonadaceae.
CACACACGGAAUUCGGGAUGGUCCUCCGAGCGAUCGGGGAACCCGCCCACCGGUGGCAGCCAGACGGCUGCUUCUUUUCCGUGGAGGCUCAACCGGUAAAAGGACCCUU